GUGGGGAAUAUUGGGCAAUGGGCGCAAGCCUGACCCAGCAACGCCGCGUGAAGGAAGAAGGCUUUCGGGUUGUAAACUUCUUUUGUCAGGGAAGAGCAGAAGACGGUACCUGACGAAUAAGCCACGGCUAACUACGUGCCAGCAGCCGCGGUAAUACGUAGGUGGCAAGCGUUGUCCGGAUUUACUGGGUGUAAAGGGCGUGUAGCCGGGCUGACAAGUCAGAUGUGAAAUCCCGCAGCUUAACUGCGGAACUGCAUUUGAAACUGUUGGUCUUGAGUACUGGAGAGGCAGACGGAAUUCCUAGUGUAGCGGUGAAAUGCGUAGAUAUUAGGAGGAACACCAGUGGCGAAGGCGGUCUGCUGGACAGCAACUGACGGUGAGGCGCGAAAGCGUGGGGAGCAAACAGG
This 407-nucleotide ribosomal RNA is filed under the name uncultured bacterium. Its description in RNAcentral is "bacterial SSU rRNA". It matches the Rfam family "Bacterial small subunit ribosomal RNA", at positions 354 to 776 of the family's 1533-position model. The record is from RNAcentral.